This 215-nucleotide ribosomal RNA is filed under the name Glomeromycotina sp. RNAcentral describes it as "partial small subunit ribosomal RNA". Lineage: Eukaryota; Fungi; Glomeromycota. The record is from RNAcentral.
GGGUCAGUAGGUUGGUCGUGCCACCGGUACGUACUGGUCUCACUGAUUCCUCCUUCCUGAAGAACCGUAAUGCCAUUAAUUUGGUGUUGCGGGGAAACAGGACUGUUACUUUGAAAAAUUAGAGUGUUUAAAGCAAGCUAACGCUUGAAUACAUUAGCAUGGAAUAAUGAAAUAGGACGAUCGAUCCUAUUUUGUUGGUUUCUAGGAUUGACGUC